CCCGAGUUUUCACCCCAGAAAUCUAGAAUUUCAGAUACCUUCUCUAAGUUCAGGAUGGUUGCCAUCUGAGUGAGACGAGCAAACUUGUCUCUAACUGUCCUCUGAGUCACGCCAGAGAAAUGGCUCACCAAAGCCCUUAUAUCUCUGUCGAGCUGAAGUCCUCCCAGCUGACUAAACCUUUUCUGCAUCAUUAUCACUUCAAGCCUCUUCACAAUGAAGUCAAUGACCAAAUGUACAAAUGAAUCAUAGUUGUUUGUGCUCAUUAGUGGUUGAAGCCACGACACAUUUGUCUCAACAGAAUGUAGAAGCCUCUGGACCCAUGGGUCAUUCACCUCAUUAUCUGC
Molecule: unclassified non-coding RNA, 344 nt
Filed under: Hevea brasiliensis (rubber tree)
Lineage: Eukaryota; Viridiplantae; Streptophyta; Magnoliopsida; Malpighiales; Euphorbiaceae
Source: RNAcentral